CCUACGGGAGGCAGCAGUAAGGAAUAUUGGACAAUGGGCGAAAGCCUGAUCCAGCCAUGCCGCGUGAAGGAUUAAGGUCCUCUGGAUUGUAAACUUCUUUUAUGUGGGACGAAAAAAGGGCAUUCUUGCUCACUUGACGGUACCAUUUGAAUAAGCACCGGCUAACUCCGUGCCAGCAGCCGCGGUAAUACGGAGGGUGCAAGCGUUAUCCGGAUUCACUGGGUUUAAAGGGUGCGUAGGCGGGUAGGUAAGUCAGUGGUGAAAUCUCGAAGCUUAACUUCGAAACUGCCAUUGAUACUAUCUAUCUUGAAUAUUGUGGAGGUUUGCGGAAUAUGUCAUGUAGCGGUGAAAUGCUUAGAUAUGACAUAGAACACCGAUUGCGAAGGCAGCAGGCUACACAUAUAUUGACGCUGAGGCACGAAAGCGUGGGGAUCAAACAGGAUUAGAUACCCUGGUAGUCCACGCCCUAAACGAUGAUUACUCGACAUACGCGAUACACUGUGUGUGUGUGAGAGAAAGACGAUUAAGUUAAGUACCUACCGUUACGGUUAAGGUACGUUACCGUUCCGAAGGAGAGAACGUACGAAGGAAGUUAGUUACGGCGUUGAGACGUUGCCGACGGACGACGACGAGGGAGGUAGG
This 642-nucleotide ribosomal RNA is filed under the name uncultured bacterium. Its description in RNAcentral is "bacterial SSU rRNA". The stretch from base 1 to 537 matches the Rfam family "Bacterial small subunit ribosomal RNA", at positions 338 to 873 of the family's 1533-position model. The record is from RNAcentral.